RNAcentral lists this ribosomal RNA (468 nucleotides) under uncultured bacterium. RNAcentral's name for it is "partial 16S ribosomal RNA". It matches the Rfam family "Bacterial small subunit ribosomal RNA", at positions 28 to 507 of the family's 1533-position model. The record is from RNAcentral.
GACGAACGCUGGCGGCGUGCUUAACACAUGCAAGUCGAACGGAAAGGCCCUGCUUUUGUGGGGUGCUCGAGUGGCGAACGGGUGAGUAACACGUGAGUAACCUGCCCUUGACUUUGGGAUAACUUCAGGAAACUGGGGCUAAUACCGGAUAGGAGCUCCUGCUGCAUGGUGGGGGUUGGAAAGUUUCGGCGGUUGGGGAUGGACUCGCGGCUUAUCAGCUUGUUGGUGGGGUAGUGGCUUACCAAGGCUUUGACGGGUAGCCGGCCUGAGAGGGUGACCGGCCACAUUGGGACUGAGAUACGGCCCAGACUCCUACGGGAGGCAGCAGUGGGAAAUAUUGCACAAUGGGCGGGAGCCUGAUGCAGCAACGCCGCGUGCGGGAUGACGGCCUUCGGGUUGUAAACCGCUUUCGCCUGUGACGAAGCGUGAGUGACGGUAAUGGGUAAAGAAGCAACGGCUAACUACGUG